CAAUAGCCCCGAUUGCAGCGGAAAUCCUUUUUGCUCUUUCUUUAAGAGCGAAAAGAAUUGAAGCGGAAAGCGGGAAAACAG
Molecule: small RNA, 81 nt
Filed under: Flavobacterium cauense R2A-7
Lineage: Bacteria; Pseudomonadati; Bacteroidota; Flavobacteriia; Flavobacteriales; Flavobacteriaceae
Description: Flavo-1 RNA
Rfam family: Flavo-1 RNA
Source: RNAcentral